CUCCCUCUCUCUUUGCCGUGAAAGCCGGAGGCGCGCCAGAGGCCUUUUGGACUCUUCAGGCCACCGUCGCUGGGUCCUCCCCGCCGCUGGGACUUCUGCGCCUGCGCACUGCUCGGGCGCCGUCCAUUUCUGUUAGGAAGGACGUCAGGUUUGAGGUAGGUGUGAAGGAGAAGAACUACCAUGACUUCAAGUGCUUUAACGAAACCUCAGAUGCGAGGCCUUCUGGCCAAGCGUCUGCGAUUUCAUAUCGUUGGAGCCUUCGCUGUAUCCCUGGGGGUUGCAGCUUUUUAUAAGUUUGCUGUGGCUGAACCAAGAAAGAAGGCAUAUGCAGAUUUCUACAGAAAUUAUGAUUCUAUGAAAGAUUUUGAGGAGAUGAAGAAGGCUGGUAUCUUUCAGAGUGCAAAGUGAAUUUGGAAUAUAAAGAAUUUCUUUGGGUUGUGUUUCAUUGAAGCUUGACUGUCCUGUGUUCCUGAGCUAUGAAACACGAACACUGGGUUAUGGAAUAGUUUCUCUUAAUAAACAACUAAAAAAUG
This is an RNA transcript of Canis lupus familiaris (dog), 533 nucleotides long. It is a transcript of the gene named cytochrome c oxidase subunit 6C, with no coding region annotated. The transcript has 5 exons. NCBI's taxonomy places the organism in Eukaryota, Metazoa, Chordata, Mammalia, Carnivora, Canidae. The record is from RefSeq and is a predicted model, not a curated record.